This 497-nucleotide ribosomal RNA is filed under the name uncultured bacterium. RNAcentral's name for it is "partial 16S ribosomal RNA". It matches the Rfam family "Bacterial small subunit ribosomal RNA", at positions 28 to 507 of the family's 1533-position model. The record is from RNAcentral.
GAUGAACGCUGGCGGCGUGCCUAAUACAUGCAAGUCGAACGAACGGACGGGAAGCUUGCUUCUCUGAUCUUAGCGGCGGACGGGUGAGUAACCCGUGGAUAACCUACCUAUAAGACUGGGAUCACUUCGGAAAACCGGAGCUAAUACCGGCUAAUAUUUUGAACAGCAUGCUUCAACAGAAGACGACGGUCUUGCUGUAAAUUAACGAUGGAUCCGCGCUGCAUUAGCUAGUUGGUAAGGUAACGGCUUACCAAGGCCACGCUGCAUAACCAACCCGAACGCGGGAUCGGCCACACUGGAUCAGAGACACGGUCCACACUCCGGCGCUAGGCAGCAGUACGGAAUCCUCCGCAAGGGGCGAAUGCCGGACGUAGCAACGUCGCGUGAGCGAUGAAGGUCCGCCGAUCGGAAAACUCUGUUAGUAGUGAAGAACAUAAGUUCAAUUAACUGUGCACAUCUUGACGGUACCUAAGCAGAAAGCCACGGCUAACUACGUG